This 318-nucleotide ribosomal RNA is filed under the name Nostoc sp. 3335mG. RNAcentral describes it as "bacterial SSU rRNA". It matches the Rfam family "Bacterial small subunit ribosomal RNA", at positions 1 to 346 of the family's 1533-position model. Lineage: Bacteria; Bacillati; Cyanobacteriota; Cyanophyceae; Nostocales; Nostocaceae. The record is from RNAcentral.
CAAACUUGAGAGUUUGAUCCUGGCUCAGAACGAACGCUGGCGGCAUGCCUAACACAUGCAAGUCGAACGAGAUCUUCGGAUCUAGUGGCGCACGGGUGCGUAACACGUGGGAAUCUGCCCUUGGGUUCGGAAUAACUCUCCGAAAGGAGUGCUAAUACCGGAUGAUGUCGAAAGACCAAAGAUUUAUCGCCCAGGGAUGAGCCCGCGUAGGAUUAGCUAGUUGGUGGGGUAAAGGCCUACCAAGGCGACGAUCCUUAGCUGGUCUGAGAGGAUGAUCAGCCACACUGGGACUGAGACACGGCCCAGACUCCUACGGGA